This 356-nucleotide ribosomal RNA is filed under the name uncultured organism. RNAcentral's name for it is "bacterial SSU rRNA". It matches the Rfam family "Bacterial small subunit ribosomal RNA", at positions 123 to 510 of the family's 1533-position model. The record is from RNAcentral.
AACCUGCCCUUGGCAGGGGAACAACAGCUGGAAACGGCUGCUAAUACCCCAUAGGCUGAGGAGCAAAAGGAGGAAUCCGCCCAAGGAGGGGCUCGCGUCUGAUUAGUUAGUUGGUGAGGCAAUGGCUUACCAAGGCGACGAUCAUUAGCUGGUCCGAGAGGAUGAUCAGCCACACUGGGACUGAGACACGGCCCAGACUCCUACGGGAGGCAGCAGUGGGGAAUUUUCCGCAAUGGGCGAAAGCCUGACGGAGCAAUGCCGUUUGAAUGCAGAAGGCCCACGGUUCAUGAACUUCUUUUCUCGGAGAAGAAAAAAUGACGGUAUCUGAGGAAUAAGCAUCGGCUAACUCUGUGCCA